Long non-coding RNA from Rhododendron vialii, 478 nucleotides. RefSeq lists it as uncharacterized. The record is from RefSeq and is a predicted model, not a curated record. Lineage: Eukaryota; Viridiplantae; Streptophyta; Magnoliopsida; Ericales; Ericaceae. The transcript has 2 exons.
GUAGACUAAUUGAUGAGAGUAUUCGAGAUUAAUGGGUGAACAAAAAAUGUGAAAGGUAUUAUGAAGUUGAAAAGAACGAGAUUACUAUUGGGCUUUCUAGAGCUAUGAAAUGUGAAUCUGUGGAUACUUGGUGAGUCCGUUGGAUACUUUGUGAGUUGGUGAGUCUGCUGGAUACUGAGUGAGUCUGUCAAUGCGUGGAUGUGUCUAGUGUUGUGUAAGCUAUUAAAUUGUACCAUGGGUUUGUUGGAAUAUUUCGUGAAUGAAAUGUGAUAUUGUUUAGCUUUAACCAACAUGUAUGAUUUGUUAUGUAAUCUCAAUGCGUAAAAUUUGCUUUUAGUAUAUGAUGUAGAAUAAACAGUGAUGCUUAUGUGGGUAGUUGCUACGAGUGUAUGCCUUUCUUGAGUAGCAGCAACGAUGUUUGGAGAACUGAGUUUAAGGAAAAUAAUGGAUUGAUAGUUUACCAGAAUGGCUUUAAUGU